Molecule: long non-coding RNA, 734 nt
Filed under: Heterocephalus glaber (naked mole-rat)
Lineage: Eukaryota; Metazoa; Chordata; Mammalia; Rodentia; Bathyergidae
Description: lncRNA (ENSHGLG00100035804.1)
Source: RNAcentral
AAACAAGUCAGUAAAAUUAGGUGAGCUCACAAAGAAUUGGAUGUGAAGAAAGAAGCUGCAAGCAGAAGAACUGUAGUGAAAAUCUUUCCAACUUCACACAGUCCUCAGUGAUUUCUAUCAAGUAUUUUCUUAGUUGUGGCUCAGGUAAAGAACUGUCAUUGUCUUCUUCCAGAUUCUUCACAGAUACUUCCUCCUCUGGAGCUGACAAGAAGUGAGCCACACAGGGAAGCCUUGCCCAAGGGUGGGUGUCCCGGCCCGCAGGGCUUACCUGCAAUGAGCCAUGAUGUCAUUGUAGUAGACUACACAUUUGGAAAGACAAAAAUCAGAAAACUUCUUUCAGCAUAGCUAAAGCCAUCUCCUUUGAGCCUAUAUUUCUGACCAGCAGAUGAGUCAAGGCUUAACAGAGUAAACAGCACUUCUAUCUCAGAAAACUGUGGGAAACGUCUUCAAAGGGAAAAAAGGGGAUCCUAGUUCCUGGGGCAAAGACCCUGGUCCUAUGACCAGAGAAACAGUAAAGUCACAGCAUGGGCCCAGGCUUGCCCCUGGAUUGGACUCUGAUUCUGACAUAUACAGAUAUUUGAUGCCAAGUCACAAAGGCCUGGGACUGCAGGAGGAGGAGAACAUUUUAUCACAGUGUCCAGCAGAAAAAAAUCAAUUUAUUCCCUGGCUCCUUGGUGGCUGACCACGGGCUGCUGAAACUGAAGGGAAUCAGCAGUGGAUCCUGCAACUUGCAG